UACGUAGGUGGCGAGCGUUGUCCGGAAUUAUUGGGCGUAAAGCGCGCGUAGGUGGGAUAUUAAGUCUAUUCUAAAAGUGCGGGGCUCAACCCCGUAGAGGGAUGGAAACUAAUAUUCUUGAGUACCGGAGAGGAAAGCGGAAUUCCCAGUGUAGCGGUGAAAUGCGUAGAUAUUGGGAGGAACACCAGUGGCGAAGGCGGCUUACUGGUCCGGAACUGACGCUGAGGUGCGAAAGCGUGGGGAGCAAACAGG
RNAcentral lists this ribosomal RNA (252 nucleotides) under uncultured bacterium. Its description in RNAcentral is "partial 16S ribosomal RNA". It matches the Rfam family "Bacterial small subunit ribosomal RNA", at positions 524 to 776 of the family's 1533-position model. The record is from RNAcentral.